CAGUUGAAAGCUUCGAAUGCGAAAUUGAUAGUAACUCAAUCGCAGUAUGUGGAUAAAUUCCGUGAUCCCGCGGAAAAUGAUCCGAAAAUUGGGGAGGAUUUUUCAGUCGUUACAAUUGAUGAUCCGCCGGAGAAUUGCUUGCAUUUUUCUGUACUAUCGGAAGCUAAAGCAGAGGAUAUGCCAAAAGGAGUUGUUAUCCACCCUGACGACCCCGUGGCUCUGCCGUUUUCGUCAGGGACCACGGGGUUGCCGAAAGGUGUGAUACUGACUCAUAAAAGUUUGAUAACAGGGGUGGCUCAAUUAGUAGAUGGCGACAACCCGAAUUUUUACUUGAAGCACGACGACGUGGUGCUGUGUGUGCUUCCUCUGUUUCAUAUAUUCGCGCUGAAUUCAGUGCUUUUAGUCUCGUUAAGAGCUGGGGCUAGUGUUCUGUUGAUGCAAAAAUUCGAAAUUAGUGCGCUGUUGGAGCUGAUACAAAAACACCGCGUCUCAGUCGCUGCUGUAGUUCCGCCACUGGUUCUUGCAUUGGCGAAAAAUCCAAUGGUGGAUUCGUUCGAUUUGAGCUCCAUACGGCUCGUGCUGUCCGGGGCUGCGCCGCUGGGGAAGGAGCUGGAGGAAGCACUCCAUAGAAGAGUACCGCAAGCCAUAUUUGGACAGGGAUAUGGUAUGACAGAAGCAGGACCAGUAGUGACAAUGUGUCCAGCAUUUGCAAAGCAACCAUUUUCAACUAAAUCCGGUUCAUGUGGCUCUGUGAUUCGAAAUGCGGACCUCAAGGUGGUUGACCCAGAAACCGGUAGCUCACUUCACCGUAACCAACCCGGUGAAAUUUG
This 830-nucleotide unclassified non-coding RNA is filed under the name Hevea brasiliensis (rubber tree). Lineage: Eukaryota; Viridiplantae; Streptophyta; Magnoliopsida; Malpighiales; Euphorbiaceae. The record is from RNAcentral.